UGUAGCCCUAGACCACGUCCUUUGAUAGG
RNAcentral lists this non-coding RNA (29 nucleotides) under Rattus norvegicus (Norway rat). Lineage: Eukaryota; Metazoa; Chordata; Mammalia; Rodentia; Muridae. The record is from RNAcentral.